Sebastes umbrosus (honeycomb rockfish) is the source of this 348-nucleotide long non-coding RNA. RefSeq lists it as uncharacterized. The record is from RefSeq and is a predicted model, not a curated record. The transcript has 2 exons. NCBI's taxonomy places the organism in Eukaryota, Metazoa, Chordata, Actinopteri, Perciformes, Sebastidae.
CAAGAUGGUGACCAUAAACAGCCACAGAAUCACCGUUAUGUUUGGCAUUAAGUUGAGACUGUAUUUACAGCUACUACAGAAUAUUCUGUCGGGCCACUAUGAUCCUAAAUGAGGUCACUGCCUAUAGAGUGCUACAGGUAUGAGUCCUACAAUCCGGAAAUUAGUUAUUUUAGCACUUCCGGUUCCCUCGUCUCGAAGUCAAUGGGUUUUUUGAAUAGGUUUUUAGUUAGAUGCCUGUAAUAAAGUCUGUGGUUAACACUAGCUUAAGAGAUUUUAACGUUUAGUUGUAUAAUAUAAAAUAUGUCACUAAAUAUCCCACUAGUGAAUUUUGAGUCUUUUACGUGUCUU